UCGGUUAGGCAGAAGAUUCGAAUACAAAAGUAUAAUCAUAUUAAAAUGUACGACUUCCAAUUAUUAUAUACCACCCGUGUUUGUAAAGUGUGGAACUAUUGAUACGGAAAAUGAAUAAAUGCUAAGUGUAUUUCGUGCAUUUAACUUAUUUCUCACCGUUAUGGAUAAAGAACACAGAUUAACCAUAACAGCAUUACCUGCCCUGAUGCACUCUCCAUCAGUUCUUUUGGAACACAUUUCAUUCGUCAUCUGAUUCUUAGCCUGGUAGUCCUAGCUUCACCAC
RNAcentral lists this long non-coding RNA (283 nucleotides) under Mytilus galloprovincialis (Mediterranean mussel). Lineage: Eukaryota; Metazoa; Mollusca; Bivalvia; Mytilida; Mytilidae. The record is from RNAcentral.